GCCAACAAAUUGAUCAAUUGAAAGUCUCAUAGAUAAUCAGUUAUGAUAGAGUAAUGCGUACACUUGAUUUUAAGUGGCUCAUAGAUAAUCAGUUAUGAUAGAUACGUUCAGCCUCAACUAAGGCAGCUUGGUUCCCCCUAAAGCACGUAUUUAAUGCUAUACACAACCAAGUUCUCAAGUUGUAACUGACAUAUUUAAGAGGAAUCUAGGAUUCAGACCAAUAGUUUUAUCCCCGGAAAACAUAUCCUCCAUGCGAGACGCUGAUAUUCAUCCUUUUAUACCAUCCGCAACCAAAAGCACCUCUGAUUCUGGUAAUAUGGUGAAGAAUCUCUGCUCUAAGAAAGAAAAAUUCCCAACACCACUUCUCAUAUGCUAGCUCCAGAAGGAAAACCAAGAAUCUGCCGGGUUCAUCCUCUCUCUCAUUCUCACAAGACGCGUAAAGGUAUGCAGUAAAUAUUCCUUCAUACACAGCCUUUGAGUGCAUGCCGGAGCUGACCCUUUUCAACGUAAACCUUUAGUACCAGAAGAUGACAAGAGCCGGCUAUGGUUAUGUGACAGAUAUCUCACCACAACAACAAAAACAGAGCAUCCCUACAAUAGUGGAACACUAAUGGCUACAUAUUUAACAUAUUCUUUGUUCAUAUUAUGUAAAAAAAAUACAUUUCCUGACACACUGCUUUUAUCGUGGACAUAAUGCUUCACAAUAAAAACGCUUCUGUAAAGGGGGCAAGACUUAAACGGAAACAAUUGUGUCUGGGUAGGAGAAAAACCAAACUUGAACAAUGUCAACGCUCCAGUGAAACCCAGUAAGCAUUUUGGUACAAAUAUUAGUUGUGUUCUAGCCUUACUAAAAUCAUAUUUAUGGUCCAUGGAAUGCAGGCGUAGAGCAUGGCGUCCAACCUCUGCCCAUAGUUUUCAUAAACACAGCUCAUAGUACUAUUUAUAGUUACAUUCUUCACAUAUAUAGGCGGCCUCAGGUCCAAAUAAACCACC
This 993-nucleotide long non-coding RNA is filed under the name Brassica napus (rape). RNAcentral's name for it is "long non-coding RNA (BNAP_LNC010679)". Lineage: Eukaryota; Viridiplantae; Streptophyta; Magnoliopsida; Brassicales; Brassicaceae. The record is from RNAcentral.